This 660-nucleotide ribosomal RNA is filed under the name uncultured Bacteroidales bacterium. Its description in RNAcentral is "bacterial SSU rRNA". It matches the Rfam family "Bacterial small subunit ribosomal RNA", at positions 67 to 719 of the family's 1533-position model. The record is from RNAcentral. Lineage: Bacteria; Pseudomonadati; Bacteroidota; Bacteroidia; Bacteroidales.
CAGCAUGGUCUUAGCUUGCUAAGGCCGAUGGCGACCGGCGCACGGGUGAGUAACACGUAUCCAACCUGCCGUCUACUCUUGGACAGCCUUCUGAAAGGAAGAUUAAUACAAGAUGGCAUCAUGAGUCCGCAUGUUCACAUGAUUAAAGGUAUUCCGGUAGACGAUGGGGAUGCGUUCCAUUAGAUAGUAGGCGGGGUAACGGCCCACCUAGUCUUCGAUGGAUAGGGGUUCUGAGAGGAAGGUCCCCCACAUUGGAACUGAGACACGGUCCAAACUCCUACGGGAGGCAGCAGUGAGGAAUAUUGGUCAAUGGGCGAGAGCCUGAACCAGCCAAGUAGCGUGAAGGAUGACUGCCCUAUGGGUUGUAAACUUCUUUUAUAAAGGAAUAAAGUCGGGUAUGGAUACCCGUUUGCAUGUACUUUAUGAAUAAGGAUCGGCUAACUCCGUGCCAGCAGCCGCGGUAAUACGGAGGAUCCGAGCGUUAUCCGGAUUUAUUGGGUUUAAAGGGAGCGUAGAUGGAUGUUUAAGUCAGUUGUGAAAGUUUGCGGCUCAACCGUAAAAUUGCAGUUGAUACUGGAUAUCUUGAGUGCAGUUGAGGCAGGCGGAAUUCGUGGUGUAGCGGUGAAAUGCUUAGAUAUCACGAAGAACUCCGAUUGCGAA